GCCCAAGUGGUCUAAUGGUUAUGAUUCGUGCUUCGGGACGCGGUAUAUCCCGGCUAUAUAUAUACAAUAGCCCCAAUGUGCGAGAUUGGGCGUUCGAUUCGCCCCUUGGGCC
Talaromyces stipitatus ATCC 10500 is the source of this 112-nucleotide non-coding RNA. NCBI's taxonomy places the organism in Eukaryota, Fungi, Ascomycota, Eurotiomycetes, Eurotiales, Trichocomaceae. The record is from the annotation of a RefSeq genome assembly.